UGUGUAGGUUCAACCAGGAAAAAAGAGGCCAACUGAAUCUGCCACAAAAACACUUGUUCCUGCUAAAAAGGCUAAAUUAGUUUCACCUCAAAACACAGAUGGUAAGAAGGGUGGGGCUCAUACAGCAACUCCUCAUCCUAACAAGAAGGCGGGGAAAACUCCUGCUACCGGUGACAAAGGCAAGGGGCAGAGCCCAAAAUUCUGGUGGCCAAGUCUCUUGCAAAUCUUGCAGCAAGACAUUCAACUCAGAAAAUGCGCUUCAAUCCCAUUCCAAGGCUAAGCAUGGUGUCUCUUAGAGCAAAAGAAGUCUGUCUGUCGAAAUC
Long non-coding RNA from Vitis vinifera (wine grape), 323 nucleotides. RefSeq lists it as uncharacterized. NCBI's taxonomy places the organism in Eukaryota, Viridiplantae, Streptophyta, Magnoliopsida, Vitales, Vitaceae. The transcript is spliced from 3 exons. The record is from RefSeq and is a predicted model, not a curated record.